AAAAAUUAAAAUUUUAAAAUAAAUUCUCUACACCAGCUUAUCCGUGCAGGGUGACGUCAACUGAAGGCUAAGUGCUCCUCCUCCUCCCCAUGUAGCAAAUGUAGCUGUGACACAGAAUGAGAGCAGCCUAACUCUGCGGUGGAACAAGGCUGACGGCAUCUCAACCUACAGACUGCAGAUUGAAGGUGGUGAACCUGCCGACGUCACUGCUGAUCCUGCAGAAACAGUGAGACAUGUGGUCUCUGGUCUGACCGCUGGGACGAGAUACACUUUCACCCUUUUUACAGUUUCCAAUGGACUCAGCAGCUCUGGCUCCUCGUGAUACUGAAAGCUUUGAAGCCAUUGCACAAAAUGAGACCAGCAUAACUCUGCAGUGGACCAAAGUGGGAGACAUUAACAAUUAUACUCUUUCCUACGAUGGAAAGGAGGUCAACAUAAAUUACUCUGCAGGAAAUGGAGAAUACACAGUCUCAGGUCUGACCAGCGCCACUAGAUACAGCUUCACUCUCUACACGGUGUUUGAAAAUAUCAGAAGUAGAGGAGCAAACACCUCUACGCCUCUACCGUUGGUAUGGUCUACAGUUGUCAUUAAUUAUUUUCUUCUAAUAUAGUUUGCAGUUAUGUGCAGCACUUUCUUUUUGUAUUCAAGCACUUUAUAAAUAAAUUAUUAUGGUAUUGUUUAAAAUCAGAUUGCAAAAACUAGAUGU
Molecule: long non-coding RNA, 707 nt
Organism: Fundulus heteroclitus (mummichog)
Lineage: Eukaryota; Metazoa; Chordata; Actinopteri; Cyprinodontiformes; Fundulidae
Exons: 3
Source: RefSeq, a predicted model, not a curated record